GGUGGGAAGGAGGCGAGCGGGACGGGCGGGGCGGCAGAUGGGGAGGCGGCUAGGGUUCUACCUGCUGCUGACGGAAGUAGCAGGGUUUGAAGGAGCGGCAGAUGUGGGCAUGGUUGCGGUUGGGGAAGGCUCGCCGGCUGGGGGACGACGAGCAUCGGUGAGCGCAACAAAAGGAAGCCAGGCAUCGGCGUACGACAACGAUUUGGGCGCCUGCGGCAUGACGGCGAGUCGCUGCCGAAUGCUCAGCGAUGGGGCGAGUUGGUUAAGGCGUCAGUGGCGCCUUUGCUCGUCGCCAAGGAUGGCACGUGCGCGAUCUGAAGUACAACGCCGGCCAACUUCGGCCUCCGAGGCUUCCCUGACACCCUCCUCUACCACUACCUCAAUAAAAAGGUCUUCGAAGGAUUAGGGCUUAGGGCAACUCGAUGGCAGCCAGUCGGAGUUUGCUAAGUUGCAUAUGCAAGUCCUUUUGAAAUAUGAAACUUCUGUGUGGUGAUGAGCUUCUGCUCAUCUUGCUUGAUUCAUCUCCGGUGAAGGGGGCUUGUCCUUCCAUGGUGCUCAGCCACGGACAGAUUUGGAGGGAAAAUAGGAGAUCCUGACGAAAAUGAGCAUGCUAGCGGUGGAUCCAAGGAUGCAUGGUGAUUGUGCCGGGUUUGUGCUCUGGCUCUUCUGUUGGGUUUUUCCAUGGUUGUAUAUGGCAUAUUGGCGUUAUCAGGAGUUGUGGUUCUGGAUUUGUUCGUUGCUCUAUAGAUCUAUUAUUUGAAGAACUGAUGAUAUACAGUGAGUUACCUUGCACCAUUAUUUGGCCUUUCAAGCGCUUGAUUUGAAUUUUUUAAUGUAUUCAAAGUGUCCCUACUUCCUAACAAGCCACCCAUUUUGUCGUGUGUAUGUGUUGUCAUCACAAAGUUGUUUUCUGCCCACCCGAAAAGCGCUCACCCAGACAAUCACGUGGAGGUGUGCUUUGCAUUAUUAUCUUUAAUUGAAGUUCUAUUGUGUUGUCAUCAUAUUCAAAACUAUAGUUCUUUACUUGCAGCAUCUUGAAGUGAGCAAUAUUUCGAUGCUUAUUUCCUGAUGAUUUAAGAAGUUUCGUGCACUACCAAACUUAAUUUGAAAACACUAGCUUGUUUUGUAGGAAUUGUCUUUCUUUGCUUCGAACUUGUGAUUUAUGGCUGAUGUCAACUCCAUCUUUUUAGGUGCUUGUCAAGUAUGGGUGGAAAGCUUGACAAUUCGUUUUUAUCUCUAUGAUCUCCUCAUGACCACAACCAUAGUGCAGGAUGCUGCUGCCCAAGUUGUCAUUUAUCUUUGGGUAUUCCUUAAUGUUGGGUCUACUACAUGUCCAGAUCACUAGAUGAUACAAAGUAUAUGUGGAUGCGCAUAAAGUGUUGGCUGUCUGCUUAUAUCAAGUAUGGUCUAUAUUUUGGUCAUAUCAGCCCCAGUAUUGAGCAUACCGACUGAUAUUCUGGUCAUAUCAGCCCCAAUAUUGAGCAUGCCAGCUGAUAUUCUGGUCAUAUCACACUUUCUACAGUCUACACCAAAUCUGUGAGCACGAUAUCUGAUAUUUGAAUCUUGAAAUUAUCAUUAGAAAGGCAAAGAGAUCUUGUAGAAAAAUAGGUUACAUGCUCAGGUAUAUCAUAUAUGGAGAAAAGGCACCUAUCAGCUGUAUUGGUUCUUUCGUAUUUUUGUGCAGUCCUUCUAUUAAUUUUUCUAACUUUCUGGAUUUAUAUUUGAGCAAGAUAAAUAUAUUCCAUCUCUAUCCCAGUACAGAAUCGAAGCUUCAUCAAAUCUAUCUGGGCGUUCAUUGUGUAAUACAAUGUUGAGAUUGAGAACAUUUUCAGAGGGGAACUUAAGCUUGCUAUUAUUAGAGAAGGAAUGGUAUUCCCGGCUGACAUUCAAAAGCAGUCAAGAUGGUGAAGUUUAGAACGGAGGAGCUCCGCGGAAUUAUGGAUAAAAAAUAUCCAUAACAUGCCUGUCAUUGCUCAUGUCGACCAUGGUAUGUGACGGAGCAGUGACAGUUGUCUCUAAUUGUCAAGUUUAUACGGUGGAAUCUUCUUGAUUGAUGAUAUAGCCUUCUCUUAGUUGUACUGUAUUAAUCCUUAAAACUGGAUCAUUUAAAAUUAGUUAGAUUUAAUGAGUUGUUUCACUGUUUUCAAAUAAGUAGUUUAAGCCCUUAUUGUGUCCCGAAGCUUAUUCUUUCUACCUUUUUAUGAUUGAUAUAUGCUCUAAUAAGCUUAAAUGUAACUAUUGGCAUAUAAUCUCAUGGCUCAAAAUCUUAGUUGUUGAAUGUAUUAAAAUUUAUAAGAGUUUGCACUAUAUUUCAUCCUGCAGUAUUACCAAUAACUGAAUAUUAAGAGCACCGACGAUUCCAGGUUGUACAUUCGGGAAAUGCUUUUAUCUUGCAGGCCAGUUUUACAUUUACUUCUUCGAUAAGGAGAUGAUCAUGAACAAAGUAUCAUGGUAUUUGCCUUGGCAUUACUGAUGUUGUGUUCAGAUUACUGAAGGAUUGGUAGCCGCAAAGGAGUGAAGGGUAGAAAAUAUGUCCAUUGUCAUUGAAUUGGUGGGAUUGUCCCCAAGUUAGUGCUGCAGAUGUUUCUAUUUUAGAGCAAGAAGCCAAAUCACGCUGUUCAUUGUAAAUCUUGAAAAACUUGUUUAUUGUCACUUCUAUAUCUGUUGUAAACGUUUGUUCGUGAUGUGGUACUUGUCAAUCUUGUAUGGAGAGAAUGCCUGCAUUUUGAAAACCCUA
Triticum dicoccoides is the source of this 2737-nucleotide long non-coding RNA. RefSeq lists it as uncharacterized. NCBI's taxonomy places the organism in Eukaryota, Viridiplantae, Streptophyta, Magnoliopsida, Poales, Poaceae. The transcript is spliced from 6 exons. The record is from RefSeq and is a predicted model, not a curated record.